Molecule: ribosomal RNA, 253 nt
Filed under: uncultured prokaryote
Description: partial 16S ribosomal RNA
Rfam family: Bacterial small subunit ribosomal RNA
Source: RNAcentral
ACGGAGGGGGCUAGCGUUGUUCGGAAUGACUGGGCGUAAAGCGCGCGUAGGCGGAUCGUCAAGUCGGGGGUGAAAUCCCGGGGCUCAACCCCGGAAUGGCCUUCGAGACUGGCGGUCUUGAGUUCGAGAGAGGUGGGUGGAAUUCCGAGUGUAGAGGUGAAAUUCGUAGAUAUUCGGAGGAACACCAGUGGCGAAGGCGGCCCACUGGCUCGACACUGACGCUGAGGCGCGAAAGCGUGGGGAGCAAACAGGA